GAAAAAAAAUAAAUUGGUUCUCAAAUGUAAAAAAGAAAAGGAUCCCAACACCAAGACCAAGAAAGUCUUCAGUCCUGUCAUCACGAUGGACAAUCUGUUAGUCCGCCCUGUGGCAACAGAUCGGAGAGCAUUCUUUGUACUGGAUACAUCACUACAGUCACCCCAGCUGUAUGAAUUCAUAACAGCAUCGACCUCCGAGAAAAAUAAGUGGAUUCAGGUCAUAAAUGAAGCAACAAAAGAGGUGGUGGAAGAACCAAUCGACCAGCCCCCAGUAAUUCUCCC
Pelobates fuscus (common spadefoot toad) is the source of this 282-nucleotide long non-coding RNA. RefSeq lists it as uncharacterized. The record is from RefSeq and is a predicted model, not a curated record. Lineage: Eukaryota; Metazoa; Chordata; Amphibia; Anura; Pelobatidae. The transcript is spliced from 3 exons.